AACACACUAGAUGUGAUCAAAGCUGGACCUCUUCAAAGCAGAGCAGCAUAUGGGAUCUUAAAUCAUGAAGACGGACUUCGAGAGGUAGUUGACAAGCAAGAGAGUGGAAUUUGCAUCUUGGUUAAGCAGUUGGGAGACUUUUCUGCCAAUUAUAGUCAUUAAACACUGACUCAACAUCAAACAACUGCACGAGGAGUUAGAGCCUUCAUUCACGGACAAGUUUCAAAAGCACGGAGCACCACCUGUCGCGGGCAAUUUCAUCAGAACAGAGGAGAGUGGAUCUCACUCCCAAGAAGAUGGCUGCUUUCUGGAGAGGUGGCGGAAGCCGGUAUUUCCUAACACGGUGACAUUGUGAAGUGCCUUUUGCAGCCCUUCACAGCUUCAUUGUCCAAAGGGCUUGUUUUUACAUGGCAUUCGUAGACUUUUAAUUCUGUCCCUGCUGCCUGUGUCACUUCUAGAGGACACUGGAUUUGGGAAGAGAGAGACCUCCUCACCUGUGGGGAGAGAAGAGAUCGGGGGCCAGUGGCUUUUAGGUCUGGCCAUGCGGGCGUCCUGUUGGAACAUCCCGCCUUCCUCCCCAGUAAGGUGCACUCUGCUCUGUGAAGAACCCAGGCAGGAAGGAAGAGGCCUAUGAGUUCACAGUGGAGUGCAGCUCAGCAGGACUUUCAGCGACUCCACGACUCUUGUCCCAUCUGACCACUCGCCACAACCUAUUUUCAUCUGUAGUGUCUGCCAUCCCUGUUAGUUCAUGGGCUCCCUGGGGGCAGGAGGCACGUCUGUCCUAGUCACCAUCAAAACUGUCUUAGUACCUGUCACAGUGCCUCACACAGAGCAGUUAAUCCGUAAAUGUGUGUUGAGUAAAUCAACUAUAAACGUUGAAAUGAUUGCCUUAAAAAGGUCUUCACCCUUGUUGGGAUGUGAGAGUUCCAUGACAAAUGCCUGUGUGCUGGGGAAGGAAGGGGCACUGUUGGGUAAUGAUAAGAGCUAGAAACAUGUGGGCGAGCCCUGGCAAAUAGCCCCCCAAAGUGCACACUGUACAUGCAAGAGGGAGCCACUGCAGGGUCUUCAGGUCACCCAUAGGAAAGGACAAGUGGGUGGAGGCUCUACAGGCUGAAAGGUGUGUUUGGUCUGGAAGACGAGCAGGAUCCCAGGAGAACCAUGAGUCUUAGAGUGGCCUAAUCACAGCAUAAGUUCAAGAGACAACUUUUGUGGCUGAGGGCUGAAUAUUUCGGCUGGUGUGUGUCAAGAAACCAGCAAGAAUUCUAGUGCAUGCUGCUCCCAUGUGACCUCAGAGAGCUGACAGACAAUGUAAUGGCAGAGGCAGGGACCAGUGUAGUCAAGGCAGAAAAUGGCCAGGGAGGAACCGGUCUCCUGGGAACUCACUCAACAAGACCAGAGGCCCAGGAGUCUGGUGUUGUGUGGUGUGGAAGGUAGCAGUGAAACCAAAAAGGAAUUUCUCUUUCUCCAAAGAGAGCCUCCUGAGGGCAGAGGACUUGUCUUAUGCGUCUGCACCCACAGCUGUAGGCAGAGUGCCUUGCACGUGGUAGCUGCUCAAUAAAUGCCUGAUGCGAGAAUGCUCAGCUGGUGGGCCGGCUCUGGCAGGCACGGGUGAUGUGAGAGCUUGGAGAGGCAGCUGAAGCCUCGCUAUUGUCCUCUCUCCUCCAACUUCCUCAACCUACCCAUCUGUGUUGCCGUACCUCUCCUUAAAGCCAGAUGUUCCCAAAGAUUGCUGCUCUCUACAUGGACAGCAGGUGGUGACUAAGGCAACUGGUGCAGCCUGAAGGGCCAUUCCCUUCCUCCUCCUCUGGGUCCCAGGAUCCUGUAGGAUUCCACUCAGCCCCUCAGCCAGCUCUCAGACGGUCGUUCACAUUCCCUGCUAGUCUUUCUCCCUUUCAUCUCAUCUCAGCAGGCAGGGACAUGUCGCUGCUGGAAGCCUGGUGUUAGCAGACAUGCACACAUCACACACACACACACCUCUCCCUGUCUCUGAGCCAUCGUCUGGCCCUCUGCCCCAGGCCUGGUCCAUCUUUAUGAGAACCAGGCUCUUCCUAUCCCGGGAUGCUGAAUCUGGCCUCCGACGGGAGGGAGGGAGCCUUUGCAUGUCUGCAGUGUUGCCCUCCCUCGGGGGCUUGGGGAAGAUCCACCCAUAUGGCAGAACCUUCCAAAGAGACGCGAAACCGGGAGCCUGACCUCAUGAUGCCCGCAGCACCUGGCACAGAGGGUACCCGUUCUGCUGUCCUGGCCCCAGCCCAGCUCUCUCUUCUAGAAUCCGCACCUUCCCUGGCUCCCCUCCCGGCCGACAAGAUCUGCCUCUGCUGAGGGAGGAUGAGAAAGCAUGGCCUAGGAGCUGGGUUACUCCUCCCCUCAUGUCCAGAAGGACCAAGACGACGAAAGACACGUGAGCUGUUCGGCCAAGCUCUACAACACAAGCAUCCUUUGUUCUUAGAGGUAAGAGCAACACAUAGGACUUCAGAUGUGGACAACUGAUAAAGCAAGGAACCGGUUCAUUCCCCAGGACCCGAAACCCAUGGCUGGAGAAUAUUUGCCCAAAUCAGAUCCUACCUAAGAUUGACAGCCCCCAAACUGAGACGUUAGAUCUCAUCAGUAAUAAAG
Molecule: non-coding RNA, 2613 nt
Organism: Microcebus murinus (gray mouse lemur)
Lineage: Eukaryota; Metazoa; Chordata; Mammalia; Primates; Cheirogaleidae
Source: RefSeq, a predicted model, not a curated record